Molecule: transfer RNA, 71 nt
Filed under: Myotis lucifugus (little brown bat)
Lineage: Eukaryota; Metazoa; Chordata; Mammalia; Chiroptera; Vespertilionidae
Rfam family: tRNA
About the family: Transfer RNA (tRNA) molecules are approximately 80 nucleotides in length. Their secondary structure includes four short double-helical elements and three loops (D, anti-codon, and T loops).
Source: Rfam by way of RNAcentral
GCCGGUGUGGCUCAGUGGUUGAGCAUCUACCUAUGAAUCAGGAGGUCAAGGUUCAAUUCCUGGUCUGGGCA